UAACCCAGGAGCUACAAGUGGCAACCGCAUUUAUUGGGCCUAAAGAGUCCGUAGCCGGUCUUGUAAAUUUUCUGUGAAAUCGUUGCGCUUAACGUAACGGCGUGCAGAAAACACUGCAAGACUUGGGACCGGGAGGAGUUAGAGGUAUUUUAGGGGGAGCGGUAAAAUGCUAUAAUCCCUGAAGGACCACCUGUGGCGAAGGCGUCUAACUAGAACGGGUCCGACGGUGAGGGACGAAAGCUAGGGGAUCAAUCCGGAUUAGAUACCCGAGUAGUCCUAGCUGUAAACUCUGCGAGCUAAGUGUUACAUAUUCUUCGGGAAUAUGUAGUGUCGUAGCGAAGGUGUUAAGCUCGCCGCCUGGGAAGUACGGUCGCAAGGCUG
RNAcentral lists this ribosomal RNA (381 nucleotides) under uncultured archaeon. RNAcentral's name for it is "bacterial SSU rRNA". It matches the Rfam family "Archaeal small subunit ribosomal RNA", at positions 471 to 851 of the family's 1478-position model. The record is from RNAcentral.